RNAcentral lists this ribosomal RNA (213 nucleotides) under Bacteroidota bacterium. RNAcentral describes it as "Bacteroidetes bacterium partial 16S ribosomal RNA". It matches the Rfam family "Bacterial small subunit ribosomal RNA", at positions 1 to 205 of the family's 1533-position model. Lineage: Bacteria; Pseudomonadati; Bacteroidota. The record is from RNAcentral.
UACGAUGAAGAGUUUGAUCCUGGCUCAGGAUGAACGCUAGCGGCAGGCCUAACACAUGCAAGUCGAGGGGUAACAGGGAGUGCUUGCACUUUGCUGACGACCGGCGCACGGGUGCGUAACGCGUAUACAAUCUACCUUGUACUAGAGAAUAGCCCAGAGAAAUUUGGAUUAAUGCUCUAUAGUCUAUUGUUGUGGCAUCACAUAAAUAGUAAA